GUCGAGGGGUAUAGUAGCAAUACUAGAGACCGGCGCACGGGUGCGUAACGCGUAUGCAAUCUACCUUUUACAGAGGGAUAGCCCAGAGAAAUUUGGAUUAAUACCUCAUAGUAUAGCACAAUCGCAUGAUUGAGUUAUUAAAGUCACAACGGUAAAAGAUGAGCAUGCGUCCCAUUAGCUAGUUGGUAAGGUAACGGCUUACCAAGGCGACGAUGGGUAGGGGUCCUGAGAGGGAGAUCCCCCACACUGGUACUGAGACACGGACCAGACUCCUACGGGAGGCAGCAGUGAGGAAUAUUGGACAAUGGGCGCAAGCCUGAUCCAGCCAUGCCGCGUGCAGGAAGACGGUCCUAUGGAUUGUAAACUGCUUUUAUACGGGAAGAAACACCGGUUCGUGAACCGGCUUGACGGUACCGUAAGAAUAAGGAUCGGCUAACUCCGUGCCAGCAGCCGCGGUAAUACGGAGGAUCCAAGCGUUAUCCGGAAUCAUUGGGUUUAAAGGGUCCGUAGGCGGUCUUAUAAGUCAGUGGUGAAAUCUCCCCGCUCAACGGGGAAACGGCCAUUGAUACUGUAAGACUUGAAUUAUUAGGAAGUAACUAGAAUAUGUAGUGUAGCGGUGAAAUGCUUAGAGAUUACAUGGAAUACCAAUUGCGAAGGCAGGUUACUACUAAUGGAUUGACGCUGAUGGACGAAAGCGUGGGUAGCGAACAGGAUUAGAUACCCUGGUAGUCCACGCCGUAAACGAUGGAUACUAGCUGUUGGGCGCAAGUUCAGUGGCUAAGCGAAAGUGAUAAGUAUCCCAYCUGGGGAGUACGUUCGCAAGAAUGAAACUCAAAGGAAUUGACGGGGGCCCGCACAAGCGGUGGAGCAUGUGGUUUAAUUCGAUGAUACGCGAGGAAY
Molecule: ribosomal RNA, 900 nt
Filed under: uncultured bacterium
Lineage: Bacteria
Description: bacterial SSU rRNA
Rfam family: Bacterial small subunit ribosomal RNA
Source: RNAcentral